AAUAAGUGCAAUUUUGCACUAUUCAUCUCCAACGUUUGGCCGUUCGUCUUAUUUAAAAAUAUUUUAUGAUUACUAUUUUUGUUGUUUUUAGAUGAUAAUAUACGAAUAGUACUUUAUGUGUGACUAUUAUUUUUUAAAAUUUUUCAUAAUUUUUUCAAAUAAGACGGACGGUCAAACGUUGGACACGGAUUUCACGGCUGCACUUAUU
Molecule: non-coding RNA, 208 nt
Organism: Oryza meridionalis
Lineage: Eukaryota; Viridiplantae; Streptophyta; Magnoliopsida; Poales; Poaceae
Source: Rfam